AUGAAUCGAUUUCCAUCAUUCGAUACCCGUUCCUUAAUUGUGCCAUUUCCAACCACAGUCCAACCCUUUAAGUUAUGUUCAAACCCACUAAGACACACUAUAACCUCAUUCCACAUUAUUACCAACAAAAGUAGUGCCAUCAACAUUCGAACAUUUAAAAUCGGCUUGAAUAACAAACUGAAUCAAAAACUACACUCACAUCUACCAUUAAACCCUUGCAUAUUACAAAAAAAAACAUCACAAUAUCAAAACAUUCUCAAAUUUUGUCAUAUAUUCAACCUAAACACCAAUUUAAAACUCAACCAGAUUUGA
This is a non-coding RNA of Vicia faba (fava bean), 312 nucleotides long. The record is from the annotation of a GenBank genome assembly. Lineage: Eukaryota; Viridiplantae; Streptophyta; Magnoliopsida; Fabales; Fabaceae.